Molecule: ribosomal RNA, 497 nt
Filed under: uncultured bacterium
Lineage: Bacteria
Description: partial 16S ribosomal RNA
Rfam family: Bacterial small subunit ribosomal RNA
Source: RNAcentral
GAUGAACGCUGGCGGCGUGCCUAAUACAUGCCAGUCGAGCGAACGGACGAGAAGCUUGCUUCUCUGAUGUUAGCGGCGGACGGGUGAGUAACACGUGGAUAACCUACCUAUAAGACUGGGAUAACUUCGGGAAACCGGAGCUAGUACCGGAUAAUAUUUUGAACCGCAUGGUUCAAAAGUGAAAGACGGUCUUGCUGUCACUUAUAGAUGGAUCCGCGCUGCAUUAGCUAGUUGGUAAGGUAACGGCUUACCAAGGCAACGAUGCAUAGCCGACCUGAGAGGGUGAUCGGCCACACUGGAACUGAGACACGGUCCAGACUCCUACGGGAGGCAGCAGUAGGGAAUCUUCCGCAAUGGGCGAAAGCCUGACGGAGCAACGCCGCGUGAGUGGUGAAGGUCUUCGGAUCGUAAAACUCUGUUAUUAGGGAAGAACAUAUGUGUAAGUAACUGUGCACAUCUUGACGGUACCUAAUCAGAAAGCCACGGCUAACUACGUG